RNAcentral lists this unclassified non-coding RNA (343 nucleotides) under soil metagenome. Its description in RNAcentral is "partial contains 5.8S ribosomal RNA, internal transcribed spacer 2, and large subunit ribosomal RNA". The stretch from base 1 to 120 matches the Rfam family "5.8S ribosomal RNA", at positions 35 to 154 of the family's 154-position model. The record is from RNAcentral.
GAUGAAGAACGUAGUGAAAUGCGAUAAGUAAUGUGAAUUGCAGAAUCCAGUGAAUCAUCGAAUCUUUGAACGCACAUUGCGCCCGCCAGCAUUCUGGCGGGCAUGCCUGUUCGAGCGUCAUUUCAACCCUCGACCUCCCCUUGGGGAGGUCGGCGUUGGGGACCGGCAGCACACCGCCGGCCCUGAAAUGGAGUGGCGGCCCGUCUGCGGCGACCUCUGCGUAGUAAUACAGCUCGCACCGGAACCCCGACGCGGCCACGCCGUAAAACACCCAACUUCUGAACGUUGACCUCGAAUCAGGUAGGACUACCCGCUGAACUUAAGCAUAUCAAUAAGCGGAGGA